RNAcentral lists this long non-coding RNA (914 nucleotides) under Marmota monax (woodchuck). The record is from RNAcentral. Lineage: Eukaryota; Metazoa; Chordata; Mammalia; Rodentia; Sciuridae.
UGCGUCCAGCGCUUUAGAAACGGUCGCCGGGAGGAGCGCGCCCGUCGCACGCAUGCGCACACGCCUUGGGCCGCUGCGGCGAGGUGGGCGGCCGCCGCCGCAGCCGCAGCUCACGCGCACGGGUGACGUGUGGGCCGCCUUCGAGUUGAGGUCGGUUCGCGCGGAAGUCGCUGCUGAAUCUUCGGAGGGCUGGUGCCGGGCCAGGAGCCCUGGAGGGCAUGGUGGGGCCCCCGUCGCGGUGAGCCUCGCGGUGUCCCACCUGCCCCCGCCGCCCCCGCGGGGAGGAGGUGGGGCCUUUGUGACGUCUUCGCGUCGGGGGCUGCGGGGAGAGGAGCCCGCCUGCGGGGCGCCGGGUCCCCCCAGGGCUCCGGAGGUGAGAGCCCUUCACUAGCCGUGGCAAGCUGUCGGAAAGGAGCGCUUUUUAGAGCUGUGUGUGUUUUUUUUAAUGUCUAUUUUUAGUUGUUGAUGGACUUUUAUUGGCUUACUUAUAUGCGGUGCUGAAGCCAGAUUUAAAGUUAGGUAGUCAGUGUAGUUAGGUAAAUCGGGCCUAAUAUGGAGUAAGAUCUGAAAUGGAGGCCACAUUGAAUAAAUUCCGGGAAAGGCAGGACAGCUCAUGGAAUGUCAAUAUAGUCCCUGAGAAAAGCCCUAGGCCCAAAGUCCAUACCGAAGAAAUGUUAAGGAACAGCCCCAGCAGAUUUGAAGUUAGCCCAUCCCAAAGAAAUGUUAAUGAAGUCCUUCCUGCCCAGAUUACUUCUUUGGCCCACCUGUGUCCCACCCCUCAGGCCUUCCAGCCUACAUUCCAUCACUGAAAGAACUAUAAAAAGGGGAAACAACCGCACUUCCACGGAUUCCACCUCUUGGGUCCCCUUCUUCUUCCGGAGAAGUCUUUUCUGCUGUCCUUUAAUAAACUUCUA